UAUAAACCGUUGAUGCGGAGAUAACGUUGGAAAAUGCCCUUACAGAGAGCGAGGUAAGCUGAGAGCCUUGCAGAACGCAAUCCUUCAAAUGGACCGCUGAGGGCAUGGUCAAAGGCUUAGGCCGAGUAUUCCAUGACGUGACAACUACGUCAGUGUUGAGGAAUAUGUUGGUAUUCUGCAGAGGCAGGUUUGAUCCUGCGAAAAAAGGUGGCACCACGAGUCGUUAUACUCGUCCUUUAC
RNAcentral lists this non-coding RNA (240 nucleotides) under Acetobacterium wieringae. The record is from RNAcentral. Lineage: Bacteria; Bacillati; Bacillota; Clostridia; Eubacteriales; Eubacteriaceae.